CAGGCUUGAAGUGUAAUGCUUACUAGUACUUUCCUGCACAGUCUGUACCACAUUGCAAUCCUACCAUCAUUCCCCCAGGGGAGGCAUGGAAACCAUGGCAAGUCUGGGCUGGAUUAGGGAGUGAUGCUACUUUUUUCCCAUGUAUCCAAGAGCAAUAUUGCAAUGGUGCCUUGAAGGUGCUUAGCUAUGUAGAUGGAGAUACCGUUUCCCCUCUUUGUUGGAAAUUGCAUCUGGGUAUGGAAAAUCGUAGAUGGAUAUGGAAAAACUUUCUGUAAGCUUUAAUUGGUAAAGAACUGGAGAGUUUACAGGUACCUUCACAAACAGCCACUGAGGACUGGGAGAGGGCAAAACUGCACAAAAUUCAUUUAUGCUGUGUAGUAGCAGUGUGCUCGCAGUCAGAGGACAUCUGGGAACACAAAUAAGGGAUGCUGGUAAAACGUUUGCACUUCUCAUUAAUAAGGAUUGCCUAGUCUACAGGUCACCUCAACUGAGUGACUUCCCAGCUGUGAAGACUUCAGUAUUGAUGUAUCCAGUCAAUAGCAGGGAACUUGAGGGGAAAAAUAAAGUAGCACAGACAUAGACACUGGAAAAAGCAACACCUCCUGAAUUACCACCACCACUUCCCGGAGAGGUAGUGGUUGGGUCUGUCAGUAGUCUGCCAACUACUGACUCAGCCUGUCCCCAUUUUUAUGUCCAAGACCUAAUAAGAUGAAAUUGAAAUUGCUUGCAUUGGGGUUGUAUAUAUUUUCAUACAGGAUCACCAUCUCCUUAAAAUCAGCGCACUCGGGAUAAUCAUAACACACCCUGUUACUAGAGGUUGAAAGUCAAGGUGGGUUAUGAGGUAGGAACAGGUUCGGAGUUGACAUGGCAUGGCUGCAAUUACACAGGAGAUCAGUAGCAGAGCUGGAAAGAGGAAUAAAGGUUGUUUGAAGCUCUGUUUCUCCCUUCACAUCUGGAUCAGUAACUUCAGACUGACUGCCAGAUCUCUCCAGAAUAAUAACAUUCACUGAGGAAAUAAAUCACUAAAGAAUAAAAACGACACUGCUGUCAACCAUGUGGGUGCUCAGCAUCCCACUCCAUAAAAACAAG
Molecule: long non-coding RNA, 1089 nt
Filed under: Anas zonorhyncha (Eastern spot-billed duck)
Lineage: Eukaryota; Metazoa; Chordata; Aves; Anseriformes; Anatidae
Description: lncRNA (ENSAZOG00000008412.1)
Source: RNAcentral